RNAcentral lists this transfer RNA (68 nucleotides) under Cephalcia yanqingensis. RNAcentral describes it as "tRNA-Asp". Lineage: Eukaryota; Metazoa; Arthropoda; Insecta; Hymenoptera; Pamphiliidae. The record is from RNAcentral.
AAAGAAUUAGUUUAAUUUAAAACAUUGUACUGUCAUAACAAAAAUAUUUUUAAUACUAAUAUUCUUUA